Molecule: ribosomal RNA, 216 nt
Filed under: Shigella sonnei
Lineage: Bacteria; Pseudomonadati; Pseudomonadota; Gammaproteobacteria; Enterobacterales; Enterobacteriaceae
Description: partial 16S ribosomal RNA
Rfam family: Bacterial small subunit ribosomal RNA
Source: RNAcentral
UUAAAUUGAAGAGUUUGAUCAUGGCUCAGAUUGAACGCUGGCGGCAGGCCUAACACAUGCAAGUCGAACGGUAACAGGAAACAGCUUGCUGUUUCGCUGACGAGUGGCGGACGGGUGAGUAAUGUCUGGGAAACUGCCUGAUGGAGGGGGAUAACUACUGGAAACGGUAGCUAAUACCGCAUAACGUCGCAAGACCAAAGAGGGGGACCUUCGGGC